UUUACUAAACUUAAGUAUAUUAAUAAAUAAAAGAAAAGAAACUAAUAAGAAUUACUUUAGUAAUAACGAAUAAAGUAGUA
RNAcentral lists this non-coding RNA (80 nucleotides) under Coniochaeta ligniaria NRRL 30616. Lineage: Eukaryota; Fungi; Ascomycota; Sordariomycetes; Coniochaetales; Coniochaetaceae. The record is from Rfam by way of RNAcentral.